This 1110-nucleotide long non-coding RNA is filed under the name Marmota monax (woodchuck). Lineage: Eukaryota; Metazoa; Chordata; Mammalia; Rodentia; Sciuridae. The record is from RNAcentral.
CUUUACUUUGAUUCUACCUUUGGCUAAUGGUGAAGUCAGUUUUAUGUAAACCACAGAAUUAGGUCUCCUUUACAUGUCUAUCUUGCCCUACUUGCUCUUUCCUCUAGUAUAUUUAGAUCAUUUAUAUUUAAAAUAAAUAUUGGGCUUUCUGUUUCUUGUUUUAUUUGUUUAUUUUCUCUAUUUCUCAUUCUUGUUUCUGAUAUCUUCCAUUAUUUUCAGGGAACAGUUUAAAAGAAUUUCAUUUUGAUUUAUCUUCCUGGUUUUGAGUGUAUCUCUAUGAUAGCUUAUCCCACUACCUUUCUUUUUAAAAAUAUUGCUUUAGGAAUUACAAUAUAUACAUAAUAUAUUUGCAACUUACCACUCUACUAGUAAUGGCAUUUCAUUUUCAAUCAAAACAUGAGAAUCUUGUUUCCAUUUAAAUCCAUUUACCCUUUAGUAUGUCCUGUUCAUACAGUGAACAUUGUUACCAAAUGAUAUAAUUUUCUUUCAAACAUCAAACAUAAAUAAACAUAAAUGAACAAACUGAGGAGGAAAAAGUCUAUUAUGUUAUAUAUUCUUCCUUUUAGCAAUUACAGGGGUGAGAAAAUGAUACUUAAUUGCUAAAAGGAAGAAUAUAUAAUAUAAUAGACUUUUUCCUCCUUAGUUUGUUCAUUUGUUUGAUAACUCAAUUAUCCUUUCUUCCUUCUUUCUCCAACAUUUUCUUUUCCUCUAAAGGUCUCUGAAGUUUGAUUCAUUGAUUGAUUUUUUCAGUCUAUUUUCACACUGGGUAAUUUAUGUUGUUAUAUCUUGAAGUGCAUGGAUUUAUCCUUCUGUCAUCCUCAAACUGUUCAGUCUGUACAGUGAGACAUUUUGUUUUGUUUUUAAUUUGUUAUAUUUAUCUGUUCUAAACCCUACUGAGCUUUUAAGAAACAUUGACUGUCAAUAUCUUUAUCACAUCAGUAUUCUCUUUUAUUAUCUUUUUGUUUUUAAAUGUUCUGAUCCUUAAUAUGAUGAGUAAUUUUUAAUUUUACACUUGAUAUUUUAGGUAUUACAUUUGAGACUCCCCCAUUUUAUUUAAAUUUCCUGUUCAGUAGUUCUCCAUUACAGCCAUGCUGGAUUUAAGUCCAGGUU